RNAcentral lists this long non-coding RNA (288 nucleotides) under Ananas comosus (pineapple). RNAcentral describes it as "long non-coding RNA (ACOM_LNC020802)". Lineage: Eukaryota; Viridiplantae; Streptophyta; Magnoliopsida; Poales; Bromeliaceae. The record is from RNAcentral.
AUAAUAUAAUCCAUGACCAAUGGUACCUUUUAUAUAUCACAAAAUCCGUUUCAUUGUAUAUAUCUUCAAGUCUUCUUAAUCUAACUGAACUUGAUGAACUUGAAGGAGUGGAUGAUAAAAGACCAGGUAAUGCUAACGCUGGAGUCAUUGGUGAUGGAGUGUCAUUAUCAGCUGGCACAUUGUCGGUUUCCUGAUCUAUUAAUUCUUUUCCUUUUCCUUCUGUAUUCCAAUUCCAUGUACCAUUUUCGUCGAAUAUAACAUCUCUACUUAUAAUCACUUUAUUGGUAA